Molecule: small nucleolar RNA, 104 nt
Organism: Callithrix jacchus (white-tufted-ear marmoset)
Lineage: Eukaryota; Metazoa; Chordata; Mammalia; Primates; Cebidae
Product: small nucleolar RNA U13
Source: RefSeq, a predicted model, not a curated record
AUCCCUUUGUAGUUCAUAAGCAUGAUGAUCAGGUUUUCAGGCACAUGUGUGCAGUGUGUCUCCCUCAAACUUUGUUAGGAUGCCAGCAAGCUACCCAUCAGACU